GGGACUUAUAUUAAAAUCUAAAUUGUGUCCAGUUCACAAAAGUUACAUGUCGGUGAGUGAUGCCGGCAACGAAACAGUGGGCUCAUUUAGGUGCAGCAAAGGCAGUUGCCGGAAAAAGGCUAAUCUUUCAUAUAAUAUAUGGAUUUGCCCACCAUUGGUCGCAAGCAGCCGUAAGGCUUGAAAACCCCUAUAAAGGAACCACAUUGUCAAGUGUGACUAUAACAGAUUGGUAUAACUACUGUAGGGAGGCGGUAGUUUUAUAUGAAAUUGAUUUGCAGCAUUUUGUUGGUAAAAUUGGUGGUCCGGGGAAUGUCGUCCAAAUCGACGAAUCGAAAUUUGGAAAAAGAAAAUUUAAUAAAGGGAGGAGGAAGGAGGGUUGACGGUCAUUGGGUCCUUGGCAUGGUGGAAGAUGGUAGUGAGGACAUACGUCUUGAAGUGUGUCCGGAUAACGCUCGGUCUGCAGAGGUGCUCAUCCCUCUAAUCCGCAAGCAUGUUGUAGAGGGAACAACAAUCCAUACAGAUUGUUGGAAAGCCUACGACUGCUUGAAGGAUUACGGGUAUGUGCACCGGAAAGUUAACCACAGCGAUCCGGAGAAUCCGUUUGUAGCGCCGGAUGGGACACACACUCAAAGAAUUGAGUCGCAGUGGCGUGUAAUUAAAAGAAUUUCUCCGAUACUCUACCAGAGGUUCGUAGACUAUCUGAGAAAGAAAGUCGAAAGGUAGCACGACUUGUAAAUGACCUCGGGUCAAGCAAAAGAAAAAUCAUGAUCGAAAUCUAUGAAAACUCAAAGACACAAAGACAAACACAAGGAAAGAUAUCGAUAAUAUUAGCGCUAAAUAUAGGGACUCCGCUAAAGACACUUUGGAAGAGUGUUUAAAAUUCUUAAAAAGCGAAGGUAUUUUAAAUAAAAUACAUAUAUACACAUUAGGUUCUGUCUAAUUGAUUUUUACCUUUUCUUACUAUACAUAUAAUAAUUUUUACACAGGUGCUGAUACAUCAAUUCAUUGCUUUGAUAGAGAAUUAAAGGCAAUAUAUUUUUCAACAGCAGAGAUGAGGGCUGCAGUUCAAGCGUAUCCCGAAAUCAUAUUUAUAGAUGGGACCUAUAAGUUAAUGUCAAAUGGGUUUGUUUUAAUUCUGUUGUUAGUAGAAGAUUCCAACGGGGGAACACAAAUACGGACUUGUGCAGUGGUAGGCGAAAAAACUGCAAUUAACAUGUACUCUCUAAGGUGGUGAGAAUGCCCUCCAAAGUAGAGAUUUUUUUCGUGGACGCCGGAUGUCGACGUAAUUCGUGGAGAAAUACAAAUACUAAAUCGUCGCCUUCGAAUUAUUUGUUCUAAAAAAAGAUAAAAUAAAAACAACAGU
This 1363-nucleotide unclassified non-coding RNA is filed under the name Ceratitis capitata (Mediterranean fruit fly). Its description in RNAcentral is "uncharacterized LOC110118226, transcript variant X2". The record is from RNAcentral. Lineage: Eukaryota; Metazoa; Arthropoda; Insecta; Diptera; Tephritidae.